This 715-nucleotide ribosomal RNA is filed under the name uncultured bacterium. Its description in RNAcentral is "bacterial SSU rRNA". It matches the Rfam family "Bacterial small subunit ribosomal RNA", at positions 777 to 1500 of the family's 1533-position model. The record is from RNAcentral.
AUUAGAUACCCUGGUAGUCCACGCAGUAAACGAUGAAUACUAAUUGUUCGGUUCGAAUGAGAGCUGAGUGAUACAGCGAAAGCGUUAAGUAUUCCACCUGGGGAGUACGCCGGCAACGGUGAAACUCAAAGGAAUUGACGGGGGCCCGCACAAGCGGAGGAACAUGUGGUUUAAUUCGAUGAUACGCGAGGAACCUUACCCGGGCUCAAACGACACAGGAAUAAUUUUGAAAGGAGUUAGCCCUACGGGGCCUGUGUCGAGGUGCUGCAUGGUUGUCGUCAGCUCGUGCCGUGAGGUGUCGGCUUAAGUGCCAUAACGAGCGCAACCCCUAUCGUCAGUUGCCAUCAGGUGAAGCUGGGGACUCUGACGAGACUGCCGGCGCAAGCUGUGAGGAAGGCGGGGAUGACGUCAAAUCAGCACGGCCCUUACGUCCGGGGCGACACACGUGUUACAAUGGCAGGUACAGAGAGAAGCCAUGUGGCGACACCGAGCGGAACUUUAAAGCCUGUCUCAGUUCGGAUCGGAGUCUGCAACCCGACUCCGUGAAGCUGGAUUCGCUAGUAAUCGCGCAUCAGCCAUGGCGCGGUGAAUACGUUCCCGGGCCUUGUACACACCGCCCGUCAAGCCAUGGAAGCCGGGAGUGCCUGAAGUGUGCAACCGCAAGGAGCGCCCUAAGGUAAAACCGGUGACUGGGGCUAAGUCGUAACAAGGUACC